CCCUUGUGGAGGAGGACGCCGAAGGUGGGGCUAAUGACUGGGGUGAAGUCGUAACAAGGUAGCCGUACCGGAAGGUGCGGCUGGAUCACCUCCUAACAGGGAGACAACAAAAUGUUUAAUAUUAUUAUUUUGUCACCUUAGGUCGAUCGGUAUCUCACGUUCUUAAUUUAUUAAGAAUUUCAUUUUCUAAGUUUUUCUAGGUCACACCCAUUAUUUUUCCUGGGCCAUUAGCUCAGGUGGUUAGAGCGCACCCCUGAUAAGGGUGAGGUCCCUGGUUCAAGUCCAGGAUGGCCCAUAUCUCUAUGUUGGGGGUAUAGCUCAGUUGGUAGAGCGCCUGCUUUGCAAGCAGGAUGUCAGCGGUUCGAGUCCGCUUACCUCCACUGAUUACCACCUCUUCCAUAACCGGUAGUAAAGGAAAUGUUUUUGGUUGUGAUCAAAUUCUGAAAGAAUCUAGCUUCCUAAUGAAAUCAUUAAGAUGCUGGACUCAUUGAAUUAAUUUCAUUGUUUUCAGAGAACCUUGACAACUGCAUAGAUUAUUUUUAAAGACAAUAAGCAUCUUUAAUGAUGCAGAUUUAUUAUUUGUGCGAAUGCAUUAAUAACAAUUCUAUUAAGCUGAUGCUUCAAUUUUUGAAGUUAUUGGUCAAGCUACAAAGGGCUCACGGAGGAUACCUAGGCACACAGAGGCGAUG
RNAcentral lists this unclassified non-coding RNA (689 nucleotides) under uncultured Prochlorococcus sp. Its description in RNAcentral is "partial may contain 16S ribosomal RNA, 16S-23S ribosomal RNA intergenic spacer, and 23S ribosomal RNA". The stretch from base 1 to 96 matches the Rfam family "Bacterial small subunit ribosomal RNA", at positions 1438 to 1533 of the family's 1533-position model. Lineage: Bacteria; Bacillati; Cyanobacteriota; Cyanophyceae; Synechococcales; Prochlorococcaceae. The record is from RNAcentral.